AAAACUAGCAUUGACAAUAUUUAUAUUGGCAAGAAGAAGUUAUCACAAAUAUAAAUAAAUUAACCUUAAACAUUUGAUUAAUAUAAAACUGUUUUCCAAACUAAAAAAGUGGCAAAAGUUGGAAUACCAGCCUGUUUCUGCCGAUUCCUGAAAACUUAAAUUUCACUGUGUUUAAAUGCUAUCUGCAAGAAAGAAAAGAUUUCUUCCACAACCCAAAUUAAUUUGCUACAUAUUUAUCAGACCAAAUACUCCAUCAAUUGUAAGAGUGCCAUCCAAAAUCAGUGAAAGGGAAAAGUAUGGAAGGAACUUAAUUUUUCAUCCUCCCAUCAAAAUGAGUUUCAUCCGACUGCAAGAGGGGACCGUUCAGCCUUUCGACAAGUUUGAUCAACAGAGCGUACCAAAUAUCGUUCAGUUGGAAUCGCUACUUCCGACACAGGUGGUCGUGAAAUCCGUGCUGGACAGUGUGCACUUCGUUGCAAUCUGCCGGGCAUGCAGCUCCAAAAGAAACGGAGGAAUCCAACAAUAAGCAGCUGCAACUCCGUCAUCUGUUCAACUGGAUUACAACGACCCUGCCGUUGUUGUUGCAGUUUAUUCCUACACAUUCGUCGCGUCCAAUCAUUUUCUAGCCCUUCGUAAAUUGUCAAGUUUCAUUUGAAUCGAUAGUUCAACUGGCGCUAUACUUAAAUUAUCGACAUAGAAAAAUGCGGCUCGACUAUAAAAUGACGACCCACUUUGGCGUUCGAAUUCAUAAACCCCUGCAAUCUCCUAGAUAAAAAAUGAAAUCGCUUCCGAUUCUCUUCCUUCUGGUUGCCGUCUGCCUGGUUGUCGCCAUGGAGGCCCAAACAACCAAGAAACCAGCAACAGUUGCGACGACCACCAAAAAGACGCCAACGACAACUGCCAAGAUAAUUGCGAGAACAACAACCUC
RNAcentral lists this long non-coding RNA (928 nucleotides) under Daphnia pulicaria. RNAcentral's name for it is "uncharacterized LOC124350534, transcript variant X2". Lineage: Eukaryota; Metazoa; Arthropoda; Branchiopoda; Diplostraca; Daphniidae. The record is from RNAcentral.